This is a long non-coding RNA of Cannabis sativa, 428 nucleotides long. RefSeq lists it as uncharacterized. The record is from RefSeq and is a predicted model, not a curated record. NCBI's taxonomy places the organism in Eukaryota, Viridiplantae, Streptophyta, Magnoliopsida, Rosales, Cannabaceae. The transcript has 2 exons.
UUGGAUUUUAGUUCUUUUAUUGACUUGUGGUAAAUCAAUCAAAUAUCAGCAUGGUUCUUAUCUGAAGAUGCACCUUUCAACUGCAAAGGCUUCAGCAUGGUUCUUUUAUUGACUUGUGGUGUUCACCUUCAGAACCCAACAGCCCUUAUUGCAGCCGAAUACCUUGAUCUGGUCAAUUACACACGAAGAGUGUUGUGGGAGUCUACACUAAUGGCAUCACAAGAGGGCUCAAUCUAUUGUAUAGCAAAUAAAAUGUUUGGUGAAGUACUAACAGAAUUGGUCGGAUAUAAGCCAACAUCCAAGAUUUAUUUGAUUUUUUUAGAUUUGUCUAUGUUAUAUAUUUUAAAUUAUGUUAGAUUAUGUUAGAGAUUUUGUAUUAUCAACAAUUUACUAAUUGUAUGUAUAUAUAAGUUAUUAAUUCUAUUAAA